CUUUUAUUGGUUAAUCUCAUCACCCACUCUCUCCCACACUACCAUCUAAAAGACUAAAACCCUUCUCCUUAUAUAUAUGAUGCCUCAUAGCUGAGCAACUGUCACUAGGGUUUCAAUCUCACUCUACAGCCGCAGGCAGCGGCGGCGCUAACCUCAAUUCCCACCCAUUUACAUUCUCGAGGCUGAUGGUUGAAAUUAGAAUAUAAGCAGGUUUACUAUUUUUGGUACCGAUGCAUUUUCCACCAGAUAGAGUGCUACUCAGCUGAACUGCACCAAAUCCUGCAAUGGUGAUCGGUCAAAUUGACGGUUUUGCGGUGGAACAAGACCGAUCCAACUUUGGCCCAACCCUGGCAUCCAUUAGUUUUCUUAUAUGCCCCUCUCUAGACUUUACUUUCUCUCUCUACAAUCAUCAUGGCAACAUCUGGCAUGAAGAACAAGAUCGAAAUCAACGGUUAUCAAUGAUAGAGGUUUGAAGUAUUUCACUCUCAAAGACUUCGUUUGGAGAUGUUCAAGGAAAAGUAAAGUCUUUCAAGUGACCAUUUCCUUGUUAGUAGAGGCCUAUUUGGUGCUGCAUGUGUAAUUUGUAAAUUUUUCGUAUAAAUCAGUGGUGGUGGUGUUAGUUUUGCACCCCUUGUAAUACAUUUGACUAUAUGAAUCUAAAUGAAAUAUGGUAUUAUAUUAAAUGUGCAA
This is a long non-coding RNA of Malus domestica (apple), 690 nucleotides long. RefSeq lists it as uncharacterized. NCBI's taxonomy places the organism in Eukaryota, Viridiplantae, Streptophyta, Magnoliopsida, Rosales, Rosaceae. The record is from RefSeq and is a predicted model, not a curated record.